Molecule: small nuclear RNA, 103 nt
Organism: Ictidomys tridecemlineatus (thirteen-lined ground squirrel)
Lineage: Eukaryota; Metazoa; Chordata; Mammalia; Rodentia; Sciuridae
Source: Ensembl
AUGCUCACUUUGGCAACACAUACACUAAAAUUGGAAUGAUACAGAGAAGAUUAGCAUAGUUCUUGUAUAAGACUGACAAAUUUAUGAAGUAUUCCAUAUUUUU